Long non-coding RNA from Loxodonta africana (African savanna elephant), 601 nucleotides. RefSeq lists it as uncharacterized. Lineage: Eukaryota; Metazoa; Chordata; Mammalia; Proboscidea; Elephantidae. The transcript is spliced from 3 exons. The record is from RefSeq and is a predicted model, not a curated record.
CGCUCGUUUAAAUACCCCGACUUUUGUCCCUCCUCCUCACUGGUUUGCAUGUAAACUGGUGCUUUCCUCUUAGGACUUAGGGGAACUCCGGCGGUAAUAACCACAUAUAGUUCCCUUAAUCAGUAGCCUGGCAAACCCGGUCGGGGAUUUCCAUGGCCCUAAAAGCGUCACUGUUUCUUAACUAGUGGCACAUCCGCGUGGCAUUUACUGAAAAAACCUUUGCUUCAUUGCUCUUGGGUCAGAGGAAACCCUGAUAAGCGGAGUAGAGAUGAUCAUUGGUCAGCCUAACUGGAAAAGCAAGAAGAAUGUUGUUGUAUCUGAAGAUCGCUGUUCUGCAUGGCACAGUGGAAGUGAGCAGAUGUCUUCCCACAACUUGACUGAGAUAUAAAAGAGAGAAGCGAGCAGAGAGACAAGGGAACCUUAUACCGCCAAGAAACAAGAGCCAGGAGAACAGCAUAUCCUUUGGACCUGGGUUCCCUGUGUUGAGAACUUCCUUGACCAGAGCCAAGAGAGAAAGCCUCUACCUGGAGCUGGCACCCUGAAUUCAGACCUCUAGCCACCUAGACUGUGAGAGAAUAAAUUUCCCUUUGUUAAAGCCAUC